This 497-nucleotide ribosomal RNA is filed under the name uncultured bacterium. RNAcentral's name for it is "partial 16S ribosomal RNA". It matches the Rfam family "Bacterial small subunit ribosomal RNA", at positions 28 to 507 of the family's 1533-position model. The record is from RNAcentral.
GAUGAACGCUGGCGGCGUGCCUAAUACAUGCAAGUCGAGCGAACGGACGAGAAGCUUGCUUCUCUGAUGUUAGCGGCGGACGGGUGAGUAACACGUGGAUAACCUACCUAUAAGACUGGGAUAACUUCGGGAAACCGGAGCUAAUACCGGAUGAUAUUUUGAACCGCAUGGUUUAAAAGUGAAAGACGGUCUUGCUGUCACUUAUAGAUGGAUCCGCGCUGCAUUAGCUAGUUGGUAAGGUAACGGCUUACCAAGGCAACGAUGCAUAGCCGACCUGAGAGGGUGAUCGGCCACACUGGAACUGAGACACGGUCCAGACUCCUACGGGAGGCAGCAGUAGGGAAUCUUCCGCAAAGGGCGAAAGCCUGACGGAGCAACGCCGCGUGAGUGAUGAAGGUCUUCGGAUCGUAAAACUCUGUUAUUAGGGAAGAACAUAUGUGUAAGUAACUGUGCACAUCUUGACGGUACCUAAUCAGAAAGCCACGGCUAACUACGUG